RNAcentral lists this ribosomal RNA (465 nucleotides) under Vreelandella stevensii. RNAcentral describes it as "partial 16S ribosomal RNA". It matches the Rfam family "Bacterial small subunit ribosomal RNA", at positions 338 to 795 of the family's 1533-position model. Lineage: Bacteria; Pseudomonadati; Pseudomonadota; Gammaproteobacteria; Oceanospirillales; Halomonadaceae. The record is from RNAcentral.
CCUACGGGUGGCUGCAGUGGGGAAUAUUGGACAAUGGGCGAAGGCCUGAUCCAGCCAUGCCGCGUGUGUGAAGAAGGCCUUCGGGUUGUAAAGCACUUUCAGUGGGGAAGAAAGCCUUGGGGCUAAUACCCUCGAGGAAGGACAUCACCCACAGAAGAAGCACCGGCUAACUCCGUGCCAGCAGCCGCGGUAAUACGGAGGGUGCGAGCGUUAAUCGGAAUUACUGGGCGUAAAGCGCGCGUAGGCGGUCUGAUAAGCCGGUUGUGAAAGCCCCGGGCUCAACCUGGGAACGGCAUCCGGAACUGUCAGGCUAGAGUGCAGGAGAGGAAGGUAGAAUUCCCGGUGUAGCGGUGAAAUGCGUAGAGAUCGGGAGGAAUACCAGUGGCGAAGGCGGCCUUCUGGACUGACACUGACGCUGAGGUGUGAAAGCGUGGGUAGCAAACAGGAUUAGAUACCCUGGUAGUC